AGUGAACGCUGGCGGUAGGCCUAACACAUGCAAGUCGAACGGCAGCACAGUAAGAGCUUGCUCUUACGGGUGGCGAGUGGCGGACGGGUGAGGAAUACAUCGGAAUCUACUUUUUCGUGGGGGAUAACGUAGGGAAACUUACGCUAAUACCGCAUACGACCUACGGGUGAAAGCAGGGGAUCUUCGGACCUUGCGCGAUUGAAUGAGCCGAUGUCGGAUUAGCUAGUUGGCGGGGUAAAGGCCCACCAAGGCGACGAUCCGUAGCUGGUCUGAGAGGAUGAUCAGCAACACUGGAACUGAGACACGGUCCAGACUCCUACGGGAGGCAGCAGUGGUGAAUAUAGGACAAUGGGCGCAAGCCUGAUCCAGCCACACCGCGUGUGUGAAGAAGGCCUCCGGGUUGUAAAGCCCUUUUGUUGGGAAAGAAAAGCAGCAGGUUAAUACCCCGCUGUUCUGACGGUACCCAAAGAAUAAGCACCGGCUAACUUCGUG
This 492-nucleotide ribosomal RNA is filed under the name uncultured bacterium. RNAcentral's name for it is "partial 16S ribosomal RNA". It matches the Rfam family "Bacterial small subunit ribosomal RNA", at positions 29 to 507 of the family's 1533-position model. The record is from RNAcentral.